GACGAACGCUGGCGGCGUGCUUAACACAUGCAAGUCGAACGGAAAGGCCCUGCUUUUGUGGGGUGCUCGAGUGGCGAACGGGUGAGUAACACGUGAGUAACCUGCCCUUGACUUUGGGAUAACUUCAGGAAACUGGGGCUAAUACCGGAUAGGAGCUCCUGCUGCAUGGUGGGGGUUGGAAAGUUUCGGCGGUUGGGGAUGGACUCGCGGCUUAUCAGCUUGUUGGUGGGGUAGUGGCUUACCAAGGCUUUGACGGGUAGCCGGCCUGAGAGGGUGACCGGCAACAUGGGGACUGAGAUACGCCCAAGCCUCCUCCGGGAGGCAGAAGUGGGGAAUAGUGCACAAGGGGCGGAAGCCUGAUGCAGCAACGCCGCGGGCGGGAGGAGGCCUUUCGGGUUGAAAACCGUUUUCGCCUGUGACGAAGCGUGAGUGACGGUAAGGGGUAAAGAGGCACCGGCUAACUACG
RNAcentral lists this ribosomal RNA (466 nucleotides) under uncultured bacterium. RNAcentral describes it as "partial 16S ribosomal RNA". It matches the Rfam family "Bacterial small subunit ribosomal RNA", at positions 28 to 505 of the family's 1533-position model. The record is from RNAcentral.